GACGAACGCUGGCGGCGUGCUUAACACAUGCAAGUCGAACGGAAAGGCCCUGCUUUUGUGUGGUGCUCGAGUGGCUAACGGGUGAGUAACAAGUGAGUAACCUACCCUUUACUUUGGGAUAACUUCAGGAAACUGGGGCUAAUACCGGAUAGUAGCUCCUGCUGCCUGGUGGGGGUUGGAAAGUUUCGGCGGUUGGGGAUGGACUCGCGGCUUAUCAGCUUGUUGGUGGGGUAGUGGCUUACCAAGGCUUUGACGGGUAGCCGACCUGAGAGGGUGACCGGGAACAUGGGGACUGAGAGACGGACCAGACGGCUAUGGGAGGCAGCAGUGGGGAAUAUGGCACAAUGGGCGGAAGCCUGAGGCAGAAACGCCGCGUGUGGGAUGAAGGCCUUCGGGUUGUAAACCGAUUUCGCCUGAGACGAAGCGUGAGUGACGGUAAUGGGUAAAGAAGCACCGGCUAACUACGUG
This 468-nucleotide ribosomal RNA is filed under the name uncultured bacterium. RNAcentral's name for it is "partial 16S ribosomal RNA". It matches the Rfam family "Bacterial small subunit ribosomal RNA", at positions 28 to 507 of the family's 1533-position model. The record is from RNAcentral.